GCAGGAAAGAAGACCGACACGGAACAAAGAAACAGAUCGCGACGAUAACCCGCGUUAGGCGCGGUAACCGUCUGCUCCGUGGUCCGGUCGCCUAGGCAAUGGCCGCGCAUGCGCAACGCCACGUGACAGCGGCAGAACGCCGUCGGGGCCCGGCCGCGGAAGAUGUGGAUGCAAGUGCGGCAUAAUCCUGUUGGUGUUAUCAACGGACAAACUCUUCGACUAGGAAUGCCUCUCCACGCGUAUUCCUGACGCAAGCUUCACCUGCCGCUAUCAGUGUGUGUUUUGCUGCCGUAGUGUCAUCAGCAAAAUUCAUCUUCGGUGAUCCAGAAACAUUGAGUGUUGUGUCAUCCAGCCAGGCAAAUCGCAAGAGCCUCUCUACGCACUUCACCUUCAGUGGGCACGCGAACAGAACUUUCGACAUGGCCCGUUCUACUGGGAUCUGUCCCAUGCAGGCGUAAUCCUGUUGGUGUUAUCAACAGACAAACUCUUCGACUUGGAAUGCGUCUCCACGCACAUUUCCGACGCAAGCUUCACCUGUCGCUAUCAGUGUGCGUUUUGCUGCCGUGGUGUCAUCAGCAAAGUUCAUCUUCGGUGAUCCAGAAACAUUGAGUGUUGUGUCAUCCAGCCAGGCACAUCGCAAGAGCCUCUCUACGCACUUCACCUUCAGUGCGCACACGAACAGAACUUUCGACAUGGCCCAUUCUAUUGGGAUCUGUCCCAUAC
Molecule: RNA transcript, 723 nt
Organism: Dermacentor albipictus
Lineage: Eukaryota; Metazoa; Arthropoda; Arachnida; Ixodida; Ixodidae
Source: RefSeq, a predicted model, not a curated record